GGGGUUACGGGGGCAACGAUCAGCUGCUGCAUGCCUAAACCGUGCAGUUCACAGAUCAAACGCGAGUGGCCUGCGCCCGCAGGUUGAGAUAUGACCGUAGCAGCUCUGCGAGGAGUCUGAUCGUCUAGUUCCGUAGGUGAACCUGCGGAAGGAUCAUUA
RNAcentral lists this ribosomal RNA (159 nucleotides) under Caloplaca cerina. Its description in RNAcentral is "partial 18S ribosomal RNA". Lineage: Eukaryota; Fungi; Ascomycota; Lecanoromycetes; Teloschistales; Teloschistaceae. The record is from RNAcentral.